AUAUAAAUAGCUUAUUAUUAGAGUUUAACACUGAAGAUGUUAAGGAAAUAUUUAUAUUUUUAGGUAUAUUUAUAAA
This 76-nucleotide transfer RNA is filed under the name Tonkinacris sinensis. RNAcentral's name for it is "tRNA-Phe". Lineage: Eukaryota; Metazoa; Arthropoda; Insecta; Orthoptera; Acrididae. The record is from RNAcentral.